AAGAGCUAAUUAUUCAACAUACAAGUACUAUGAUUAACUUUAAAUCAUACACAUGCAUACUACUUUAACUAAAUUCUUUUACAACUUUGCAUCAUUUCUUUUAUACAUCACAUAUUCCUCAAAAUACAACUAUUUGUAUUUAAAAUGUAAUCCUUUACAUCAUUCAUUUAAAUAUCUUUGAUACAACUAAACUCAUCAAAUACAAAA
This 207-nucleotide long non-coding RNA is filed under the name Ananas comosus (pineapple). RNAcentral describes it as "long non-coding RNA (ACOM_LNC022452)". Lineage: Eukaryota; Viridiplantae; Streptophyta; Magnoliopsida; Poales; Bromeliaceae. The record is from RNAcentral.